AGCAGUGUAGCUCAGUGGAAAGAGCACAGCUUUGGGAGUUAGAUGUUGUGGGUUCUAAUCCCGGCUCUGCCA
This 72-nucleotide transfer RNA is filed under the name Ornithorhynchus anatinus (platypus). It matches the Rfam family "tRNA". From Rfam's summary of the family: Transfer RNA (tRNA) molecules are approximately 80 nucleotides in length. Their secondary structure includes four short double-helical elements and three loops (D, anti-codon, and T loops). Further hydrogen bonds mediate the characteristic L-shaped molecular structure. tRNAs have two regions of fundamental functional importance: the anti-codon, which is responsible for specific mRNA codon recognition, and the 3' end, to which the tRNAs corresponding amino acid is attached (by aminoacyl-tRNA synthetases). tRNAs cope with the degeneracy of the genetic code in two manners: having more than one tRNA (with a specific anti-codon) for a particular amino acid; and 'wobble' base-pairing, i.e. permitting non-standard base-pairing at the 3rd anti-codon position. Lineage: Eukaryota; Metazoa; Chordata; Mammalia; Monotremata; Ornithorhynchidae. The record is from Rfam by way of RNAcentral.